GCCCGGAGAUGGAUUCUGAGACACGAAUCCAGGCCCUACGGGGUGCAGCAGGCGCGAAAACUUUACAAUGCUGGCAACAGCGAUAAGGGAACCUCGAGUGCCAGGUUACAAAUCUGGCUGUCGAGAUGCCUAAAAAGCAUUUCAUAGCAAGGGCCGGGCAAGACCGGUGCCAGCCGCCGCGGUAACACCGGCGGCUCGAGUGGUAACCGUUAUUAUUGGGUCUAAAGGGUCUGUAGCCGGCCGGAUAAGUCUCUUGAGAAAUCUGGCAGCUUAACUGUCAGGCUUUCAGGAGAUACUGUCUGGCUCGAGGCCGGGAGAGGUGAGAGGUACUUCAGGGGUAGGGGUGAAAUCUUGUAAUCCUUGAAGGACCACCAGUGGCGAAGGCGUCUCACCAGAACGGACCUGACGGCAAGGGACGAAAGCUAGGGGCACGAACCGGAUUAGAUACCCGGGUAGUCCUAGCCGUAAACGAUACUCGCUAGGUGUCGGCCACGGUGCGACCGUUGUCGGUGCCGUAGGGAAGCCGUGAAGCGAG
RNAcentral lists this ribosomal RNA (535 nucleotides) under uncultured archaeon. RNAcentral describes it as "bacterial SSU rRNA". It matches the Rfam family "Archaeal small subunit ribosomal RNA", at positions 288 to 823 of the family's 1478-position model. The record is from RNAcentral.